RNAcentral lists this non-coding RNA (27 nucleotides) under Homo sapiens (human). The record is from RNAcentral. Lineage: Eukaryota; Metazoa; Chordata; Mammalia; Primates; Hominidae.
ACCCCUUGAAGUGGCUGCCUGGGCCAC